CGGGUGCACUGGUCCGGCUGGGCCUUUCCCUCUGUGGAACCCCAUGGCCUUCACUGGGUGUGCCGGGGAACCCGGACUUUUACUGUGAAAAAAUUACAUUGCUCCAGGAAGGCCUAUGCUCGAAUACAUUAGCAUGGAAUAAUAGAAUAGGACGCGUGGUUCUAUUUUGUUGGUUUCUAGGACCGCCAUAAUGAUUAAUAGGGACAGUCGGGGGCAUCAGUAUUCAAUUGUCAGAGGAGAAAUUCUUGGAUCUAUUGAAGACUAACUACUGCGAAUGCAUCUGCCAAGGAUGUUUUCAUUAAUAAGGAACGAAAGUAAGGGGAUCGAAGACGAUCCGAUACCGUCCUAGUCUUAACCAUAAACUAUGCCGACUAGGGAUCGGACGAUGUUAUUCCUUGACGCGUUCGGCACCUUUCUGAGAAAUCAAAGUGCUUGGGCUCCCGGGGGAGUAUGGUCGCAAGGCUGAAACUUAAAGAAAUUGACGGAAGGGCACCACCAGGGGUGGAGCCUGCGGCUUAAUUUGACUCAACACGGGGAAACUCACCAGGUCCAGACACAGUGAGGAUUGACAGAUUGAGAGCUCUUUCUUGAUUCUGUGGGUGGUGGCGCAUGGCCGUUCUUAGUUGGUGGAGUGAUUUGUGAGCUUAAUUGGGAUAACGAACGCGACCUUAACAUUAUAAAUAACCAUCCUCCCUCAGGCACUUCUCCGGCUUAAAGCGGGACGCUCGG
Molecule: ribosomal RNA, 729 nt
Filed under: uncultured eukaryote
Lineage: Eukaryota
Description: bacterial SSU rRNA
Rfam family: Eukaryotic small subunit ribosomal RNA
Source: RNAcentral